UUCCACUUUAUUCUCCUAAUCAUUGAUCUUCACAAAGGAGUCGUAAAUGUCAUGGACUCGAAACGUAAAGAACAUGCGGAAUGGGCGGACAUGGCUGCCAUCCUCCAGAGGGCUUGGAAACGGUUCAUCAAUACUGUUCCGGGUAAAUGGAAACCGGAGCUUACAUUUCAAGAUUACCCUUGUAUGAGGCAGGAACCCGGGAAUAACUUAUGUGGAUACUACGUCUGCACCUUCAUUCGUGACAUGGUCUGUCCCAAGGGUGGGGAUGCCCGUAU
Lolium perenne is the source of this 275-nucleotide long non-coding RNA. RefSeq lists it as uncharacterized. Lineage: Eukaryota; Viridiplantae; Streptophyta; Magnoliopsida; Poales; Poaceae. The record is from RefSeq and is a predicted model, not a curated record.